RNAcentral lists this ribosomal RNA (497 nucleotides) under uncultured bacterium. Its description in RNAcentral is "partial 16S ribosomal RNA". It matches the Rfam family "Bacterial small subunit ribosomal RNA", at positions 28 to 507 of the family's 1533-position model. The record is from RNAcentral.
GAUGAACGCUGGCGGCGUGCCUAAUACAUGCAAGUCGAGCGAACGGACGAGAAGCUUGCUUCUCUGAUGUUAGCGGCGGACGGGCGAGUAACACGUGGAUAACCUACUUAUAAGACUGGGAUAAUUACGGGAAACCGGAGCUAAUACUGGAUAAUAUUUCGAACCGCAUGGUUCAAAAGUGAUAGACGGCCUUGCUGUCACUUAUAGAUGGAUCCGCGUUGCAUUAGCUAGUUGGUAAGGUAACGGCUUACCAAGGCGACGAAGCAUAGCCGACCUGAGAGGGUGAUCAGCCACACUGGAACUGAGACACGGUCCAGACUCCUACGGGAGGCAGCAGUGGGGAAUCUUCGGCAAUGGGCGCAAGCCUGACGCAGCAACGCCGCGUGAGUGAUGAAGGUCUUCGGGUCGUAAAACUCUGUUGUUGGGAAAGAACAGAUGUAUAAGUAUCUGUGCACAUCUUGACGGUACCUAAUGAGAAAGCCACGGCUAACUACGUG